UAACACGAUAGAGGAUGCGAUUGAUAAAGAGCUAUUUUCGUAGGGACGCAACUUGGAAAUAGGGAGGGAUCGUCGCCGAAAGGGAAUCGAUUUGCGUGUCGAUUUGCCUUGGGCAUAGCAAGAACAUUGCUAUGACUGUCAUUACAGAUAUGGUGAUGAAGAGCUAUCAUUGAA
RNAcentral lists this non-coding RNA (174 nucleotides) under Clostridiales bacterium CHKCI006. RNAcentral's name for it is "Lysine riboswitch aptamer". It matches the Rfam family "Lysine riboswitch aptamer". Rfam says of the family: Riboswitches are metabolite binding domains within certain messenger RNAs that serve as precision sensors for their corresponding targets. Allosteric rearrangement of mRNA structure is mediated by ligand binding, and this results in modulation of gene expression. RNAcentral also lists the same sequence under 1 other name. The record is from Rfam by way of RNAcentral. Lineage: Bacteria; Bacillati; Bacillota; Clostridia; Eubacteriales.